CAAGAGGAGUAGACAGCAUGACAUAACAAAAGGGAUGGAUAAAAGCAAGAUCAUAAAAACAACGCAAAGAAUCAAUAAAACAAAAAGUUAGUUCUUCCCACAACUUGGCCCAGGGCAGAGCCAGUGCUCCAGACCCUCCCUCCAACACCCAGAUACAGCUUUACUCCCAGCUGGCUUGGUCACAUGACACCUCAGCGUUGGAGCUCAAGUAUGAGGGAUAGAGUGAAGGACACCGAAGGAAAGGAAGCUCAAACAAGGGCAAAGGAAAAUGAAGAUUUGGGCCAGUAGUGAAUAAACCCUGUUUAAAAAAAAAGGGGACAAGGUAA
This is a long non-coding RNA of Mastomys coucha (southern multimammate mouse), 326 nucleotides long. RefSeq lists it as uncharacterized. NCBI's taxonomy places the organism in Eukaryota, Metazoa, Chordata, Mammalia, Rodentia, Muridae. The transcript has 2 exons. The record is from RefSeq and is a predicted model, not a curated record.